CAGGGUGAUGGCUCUGGAGAUUUGUAAUUACCAAGUUCAUGCUGAGGAAAUGAAACAACAUGUCAGUGAGACUGCUUAGAAAGACUUGAAAGGAUAAGUGUGUUGACAAGAACUCUGCUACGGACUGUUUCACUGGGGUCUUUUGGUCUAAUACGGAUAGCACAUGCAGAGCAAUCUUGCUGAGGAGAUCCUGUGAACCCACGUGCUGUCAUCUGGGCACCACACUUUCUUCAGCAAUCACUGCAAACACUCUUUUGGGACAGACUUUCCCACAGAUUUUCUUUUGUAACCCUCCAGGAGGAAAUCUUUUAGGAUUUUACUUUGGAAGAAGCCAUAUGAUCGAUGGAGCAAACUGUCAGGAGCUAUUAGACAAAAUAAUGCUGGCUGUAUGUAGCAGCCCUCCUGCAAAUCUUGGACACCUUUCACAUACCAGAAUCCUGAGGCCCAAACUGUGGAAUUUUCCUCGGCUCUCAUGGGAUGCAAGGUGUAUUGUGUUUCUAGUGAAUUUUGAGUUUGGCCUUUGGACAAACUACAGAGAUCCAAAUCAGACACCACACACUCCUACUGGCAGGAGAAAAUGACAAAAUGGUAGUGCAGAGUUUGCAUCAGAGCUUACAGAUCCUUUCUUUCCCUGAUGUACAAACAAAAGGAGUUUGCACAGCUGUGUUUCCCAUAGAGGCAAGUAAAACCCAUCUCCACCAACUAGUGAAGAAAACUCUAUGGCCAGGGACACUUGCCCUGCAAGAGGACUCAUAGUUCUGAAGACAUUAAUCAUGGGAUUAAUGGGUUUUCAGGUCUUUAUAUUUCCUUGGAUCAAAUUACCCUCCUCUCCCCCAGCAAAGAUAUCUUAUUCUCUCUAUUCUCUGAAUCUAAAGGUCUUGAAACUUUUCUUUCAAUCUCCAUCCUCUGGCUGGUAGCUACAUGGAGGAAUCCUCCACUCCAUGAACAGGCCCAGUGUGAUGGCAGUGUCUCCUGCUACGAUGCUCUCAUACCCGUGGGGUACAGCCAUCUACAGACCUGCCAAGUCUGCUUCUGGAGAUGAUCUGGAAGUAGAAACACCAUUCACUCUAGCAAAAAAGAAUGACAAAUUUCUAAUACAGAUUUCCUCUCUGUGCGAGAGAGACAUGUCAGGUAUGUCAGAGGAGAGAAAAACAAUUCAGGCUGAAAAUUU
RNAcentral lists this long non-coding RNA (1171 nucleotides) under Dromaius novaehollandiae (emu). RNAcentral describes it as "lncRNA (ENSDNVG00000002895.1)". Lineage: Eukaryota; Metazoa; Chordata; Aves; Casuariiformes; Dromaiidae. The record is from RNAcentral.